Molecule: ribosomal RNA, 305 nt
Filed under: uncultured bacterium
Lineage: Bacteria
Description: partial 16S ribosomal RNA
Rfam family: Bacterial small subunit ribosomal RNA
Source: RNAcentral
ACAGCAGCAGCCGCGGGAAUACGUAGGGUGCGAGCGUUAAUCGGAAUUACUGGGCGUAAAGCGCACGUAGGCGGCUUUGUAAGUUAGAGGUGAAAGCCUGGAGCUCAACUCCAGAAUUGCCUUUAAGACUGCAUCGCUUGAAUCCAGGAGAGGUGAGUGGAAUUCCGAGUGUAGAGGUGAAAUUCGUAGAUAUUCGGAAGAACACCAGUGGCGAAGGCGGCUCACUGGACUGGUAUUGACGCUGAGGUGCGAAAGCGUGGGGAGCAAACAGGAUUAGAUACCCCAGUAGUCCCUGUCUCUUAUAC